This 73-nucleotide transfer RNA is filed under the name Stegodyphus mimosarum. It matches the Rfam family "tRNA". Rfam says of the family: Transfer RNA (tRNA) molecules are approximately 80 nucleotides in length. Their secondary structure includes four short double-helical elements and three loops (D, anti-codon, and T loops). Lineage: Eukaryota; Metazoa; Arthropoda; Arachnida; Araneae; Eresidae. The record is from Rfam by way of RNAcentral.
GCCUUCGUAGUGCAAUGGUCAGCACGCUUGGCCCGUAAUCGAUAGGCCCGUGAUUCGAAUCCCCGCGAAGGUA